AUGACGCUUAACCAGGAGCAGAAAUUUGUUAUCUGGUUUUUAUUGGAAAUGAUUGCUGACUCAAACCUGUGGCUUUUGGCUGUAGUUGGUGUGGUGAGGGCUAAGUUGGACAGGAUAAUGGCAUUAGACUACUACACAGCAGCUGCAGUUGGAGGGAGCUACGGAGCUGAAGAUGUGCAGGCACAGGAGAGUAUUACAGUCCAGGAGAACCUAGCUGCUGAAGGUCACAAGCUGUCUGGCAGCGGUGUUGCGAGAGAACACGCACACCAUGUCAGACCUUGGCAUGCAAGACCAUGCCCCUCGCCGACCUACAUAUCCCCUCCUACUCCAGCAGCGAUGGGCGAUGGCGACUACCAGAGUCCAGCUCUGGGGCUGAUGGUGACCAUGUGCGCAGGGAGGGCGGCGGGCACCCGGGACGCGGCUACCACUGCCCCACCACCCAUCCUCUUCCCGGAGCAGGUAAAUGAUUUGGGUCAGGCAGCGCUAUCACCACGUUGCACCGACGUGAUAGUCUCACCUCUGUUGACCAAAUUUGACAUCGCCUUGCAGACGUGGGGGCUCCAUCGUCACAUUAUCGACUUACUCCGUCACCUCAGCUGGACCGGAGGCUUCACCAUCGCUUCAUUAACCCACUCCGGGGACAUCGGCGUCACCAGCCGACUAGCUCCGUCACCUCGGUUGGACUAG
This 687-nucleotide ribosomal RNA is filed under the name Triticum aestivum (bread wheat). Its description in RNAcentral is "partial small subunit ribosomal RNA". The record is from RNAcentral. Lineage: Eukaryota; Viridiplantae; Streptophyta; Magnoliopsida; Poales; Poaceae.